AAUAUUCAUUAAACCCUAACUAUAUGUAGCAGUUGGUCCAAAGCGCCUCCCUCAGUCCCUCUGUCUUUCAUUUCCAUUUCCCAAGCCAUUCCUCUUUCAAAUCCUCGAUACACAGCCUCCAAAUCCUUCCUCUGCAGUCGACGUCGUCCCGCCGUCCUCCGUCAUCGACAUCGGUCUGCAGUCGACGUGAGGUGUCGCUGUCCCGCCGUCCUCGACAUCGGUCUGCAGUCGACGUGAGGUGUCGCCGUCCCGCCGUCCUCGACAUCAACCUACCGUCAUCGACAUCGAUCUGAAACCUCAACAGUUGCGAUUGAUAAAAUUCUCAAGCAGUUGAAUCCAACAGAGAAAUCUGGAGCGACAUAAAUAUAGACCAGUUGCGACUGAUAAAUUCUUAAGCGGUUGAAGCGACACAGUACACGAACCGAGGUAGACAUAAUGAAUGAACCUGAGGUAGACCCCAGAUGUGGUUUGCGUGCACCGGCAAGAUGGCGCAUGUGCCCUCGAUUGGUCUCAAUUGGGUUAAAAGUUUUUUACUUCCCUCAAGGGCAUGCUGAGCAUCUUUGUGCUCAAUUUGAGGGGAUUUAUGAUGUUCCAUGUAUGAUCUGUUGUAGCUGUUGUAGAGUGUCAACUGUGAAAUUUGUUGCCAAGCCCACAACCAAGGAAGUAUAUGCAGCAAUUGGAUUGGUUCAGUGUGAUGAGGCUGAAGAGGUGGCAAAUACAAACAUUAACGUAACACCGGAUAUGGACCGAACUGUCUCACGACGUUCUGAAUCCAGCUCACGUACCGCUUUAAUGGGCGAACAGCCCAACCCUUGGAACAUACUACAGCCCCAGGUGGCGAAGAGCCGACAUUGAGGUGAGGUCAUUCCAUUUUGACAAAAGACCCACACCCAAGUUCCAUAGCCGCUAUCCCGAUCAUGAUUCCCCUACCCCCAGAGGGAAAGGUCCUUCCCUUUUGGUCCGGUUGUGGGCGAGGAGGGAUUCGAACCCCUGACAUCGUGGUUCGUAGCCACGUGCUCUAAUCCUCUGAGCUACAGGCCCCACCCCGUCUCCACUGGAUCUGUUCCCGGGAGUAUCCGCCAAAGAAAGCCUUUCUCUAUAUAUCCCGAAUCUCCCUCUUUGGAACGGAGGCCUUUCGCUUGCAAUUUUAAUGGCGGACUUGAAGCUCGUGGACAAUACUUGACCAACUCAAAAGGUCCUUCCUCUUGCUGCCUUAUGCAUUUCUUUAGUAAUUGAUGCAGCCCUGCUGAUUUUUUUUGCAAUCCUACAAAGAGAGUAUCAUCUCCUAGCUUCAUAAAUACAAUUCCUGUUUUUUCUUUUUCCGUGUUUAAAAUUCCUGAUAAUCCAUUUGCGAGGUAUUAUCUUCUGUUGAAUUCAUUUUAGGACUAGUGACAUACAUGAGAAUAUUUCGGGUUUUAAAGAAAAAGAAAAGAGUCUAUGUCAGUAGCCCUAAAAUGAAUUCAGCAUAAGAUAACGCCUCUCAAAUGGAAUAUAUGGAAUUUUAAACACGGAAAAAGAAAAAAGAGGAAUUGUAUUUAUGAAGCUAGAAGAUGACACUCUCCUUGUAGGAUUGCAAAAAAAAUCAGCAGUGAAUAAAUGCACAAGGCAGCAAGCGUAAGGCCUUUUGAAGUCAAGUAUUACCCACGAGCUUCAAGUCCCGUCAUUUUGGAUCCAUGUGUCAGCUGUCCGCAAGUCAAUGCAAUUUGAUUGGAAGCUAAGUAUGAAAUUUGAAAAGAUGUUCGAAAUUGAGGAUUCAACGGGAACAAGGUCGUUUAGUGGUACUGUGUCCUCAGGUGUCUGGCAUUCACUUUGGAAUUAUGUUGAGGUGACAUGGGAUGAUCCCAUUCAGGAUGAAGAAUAUGUGAAUCCAUUGGAGAUAAAACCACUACUUCCUCCCAACAAUCUGUCAACUUCCACACCACAAGGGCCACAAGGCCCUAAGAGUAUAAAAUCUCCUCAAGUACAAUUGUGCAGGCAAAUUUCGGCCGAGGUUCAAACAUUCACUUGCUGAGAAGACCAAAGGGAGGAAGAAAGCCUACAUGAAGCCGAUGGUCUAAGACUUUUUUCCCCCUCUUUAUAUUCUGGUUCUAUAAACGAAUGCAUGAAGUGAUGCGAUCCUUCUUGGUACCGAGACUUUGCAUGUAUUGUACCCAGUAGAGACUAUUUCUAUUGCUGGUAAAAUUUGUGCCGAGGUGGUUAUGGGACUCUUGAAGAGCUACUUGAAGUGAUAACAAGGGCUCAACUUGGCAUACAAGAUAAACCUGUUGUUAUGGGACUCUUGAAGAGCUACCUGAAGUGAUAACAUGGGCUCGUCAUACAAGAUAAAUCUGUAAUUCUUACUUCUGCUUUCUCAGGUCGAAUUGCUGAAUGUAGAUGGAUACUACAAUUCACUGCUGUCAUUUAUCGAAAAGCUGUGGAAGAAGGUUUCAUUUGCCUAAGUGCACGGCAUAUCAUUGUAUCUGCACCAACUGCAAAAGAGUUGGUGAAGAAAUUAGAGUUGUCAAGGAACAUUGAUCUGGUCUAUGGAGGUGGUAGCAUAGGCCAAAUGGGGUUGGUUUCACAUGCUGUUCAUAAUGGUGGUCGGCACUUUAUUGAGUUAUUCCCGAGAUGCUCAUGCCUUGAGAGUUGAUUGGUGAAAUAGUAGGGGAAGUGAUGUUUGUUGCAGAUAUGCAUCAAAGGAAAGUAGAAAUGGCUAAGCAUUCUGAUGCUUUUACAUGCCUUGCGAGGUAAGUCUUAUCCUCCCGAGUUCAUUUCUUUUUUCCCAUUUGUCCUUUUUUGGGAAAGGCAUGUAGGGGCAAACUUGUCAUUUUAGUAUUAAUAUGCUACACCUUAUUCCCCCAUCUGUGAAGAGAAAAAAUUCAAAUAAAUACUAAAUGUAUAUUAAAUGAUGGUAUGAGAGACAAAUGGAAGGUACUGAGCUGUAAUUCUGAAGUUCUUUGCACAUUUCAAAUGCAUUAUUUAUUAACAAUCUUGUACAUAAGGAGUUAUAUUCUGUGAUGUUAAAUGCAAGUGGUUAUGGGGCUCUUGAAGAGCUACUUGAAGUGAUAACACGGGCUCAACUUGUCAUACAAGAUAAAUCUGUAAUUCUUACUUCUGCUUUCUAAGGUUCUGUUGGAUUGUUGGUGAUUUUCUUUCUAAAAUUGCAUUUGAAUCUGCUUUUACCGUGUCAACUCUUUUCUAUGUUAUUAAAUAUAUGCAUCAUUCUACAUUUUUGCAGGUCGGAUUGCUGAAUGUAGAUGGAUACUACAAUCCACUGCUAUCAUUUAUCGACUAAGCUGUGGAAGAAGGUCUUGUUAGUCCAAGUGCACGGCAUAUCAUUCUCUCUGCGCCAACUGCAAAAGAGUUGGUGAAGAAAUUAGAGGUAACAUAUACUCAACAUCACAGUUGCUUUUUCAGUUGGAUUCUUUCAUCUCGUUUGAACUAUUUGUCUAAGAAAGUAAUUGAAGCAUACAGUUGCUCAAAUAGUUUAGUGCCUGUCCUGCUCUAGAAAAAGGAGAAAAUAUUGCUUACUCUGUUCGUUUCCAUUCCAGAAAUAUUGAGAAAGUAAAAAAAUUCAUCUGUUUUGGCCUGUGAUUAGCUCAACGUGAUUGCGUUUUUGUAUGUCAUUGGAUAUUUGAAACCACAAAACGUGAUUUCCUUUCACAAUUGAUGCAUAAACUUAUGGUCUGAAAAGAUUCAUACAGGUAAUGAAAUGGUUUUACUUGUGCAGUGGAUUAAUCUUUUUUUUUUUUUUUUUUUUUCUUCCCGAAAGUAAUUAGUCUCGUUUUCGUAUAUGUGUUGUCUCAGGAGUAUGUUCCCCACUAUGAAUGAGUUGCCUCGAAGCUGAGCUGUUCCCCGCUGUGAACGAGUUGCCUCGAAGUUGAGCUGGGGAGAUGGAGCAACUUAGCUACCCCCAGCAAUAUGUUAAUUGUUGGUUUGACACACGAAUUUUGAUCAUAAACUCCCAGUCUAUUUUAGAAAUUAACCCUAAAAAUAUAUUAGCAUAAAUGAUAAUUGUUGUUGUAAUGACUUGGGAUUAAGUAUCAUAGUAGGAAAUCAGAUUUGUAUUAUAUAUUUUAAACUUUUCCAACAGAAA
Cornus florida is the source of this 4075-nucleotide long non-coding RNA. RefSeq lists it as uncharacterized. The transcript has 12 exons. NCBI's taxonomy places the organism in Eukaryota, Viridiplantae, Streptophyta, Magnoliopsida, Cornales, Cornaceae. The record is from RefSeq and is a predicted model, not a curated record.